GGGUCGGUAGCUCAGCCGGUAGAGCAGCUCCCUUUUAAGGAGAAGGUCGUGGGUUCGAUCCCCACCCGACCCACAA
RNAcentral lists this transfer RNA (76 nucleotides) under Candidatus Uhrbacteria bacterium RIFCSPLOWO2_02_FULL_51_9. Its description in RNAcentral is "tRNA-Lys". It matches the Rfam family "tRNA". Rfam says of the family: Transfer RNA (tRNA) molecules are approximately 80 nucleotides in length. Their secondary structure includes four short double-helical elements and three loops (D, anti-codon, and T loops). The record is from RNAcentral. Lineage: Bacteria; Candidatus Uhriibacteriota.